GGAUUUUCACGCGUCAGGACUUUUUGGUGGAGGAAAUAACUGUGUGUGAGUGGAGAGGAGAGGAGAAGUGAACUGUACUGCACACAAGCACCUGGUGUUGUUUUUAGGGAGGGCACCUGAGAGUCCAUAGGUGGACAAGUGAGUCAGAGGACACCAGGCUGGAGCAGGGAAGAGAGAUUACUGUGUCUGCCUGAGGCGGUACAGAGACUGUGGCUGAAACACUAGGAUUUGCCCCAGGAAAGCAACAACAAAAACUUGGAAAAGAACAGGGAAAAGCAGUAAGAAUAACUUGAAAGACUUUGCCUUUCAGCAAAUGGCAUAAGGACUGUGGUCUAAUGGUUAUCUGUGAACACAAUUCACUGUUGGUGCUGUUUUC
RNAcentral lists this long non-coding RNA (376 nucleotides) under Gallus gallus (chicken). RNAcentral's name for it is "long non-coding RNA NONGGAT004207". The record is from RNAcentral. Lineage: Eukaryota; Metazoa; Chordata; Aves; Galliformes; Phasianidae.